Long non-coding RNA from Juglans regia (Persian walnut), 438 nucleotides. RefSeq lists it as uncharacterized. Lineage: Eukaryota; Viridiplantae; Streptophyta; Magnoliopsida; Fagales; Juglandaceae. The transcript is spliced from 4 exons. The record is from RefSeq and is a predicted model, not a curated record.
CCCACCCAUUAUCCAAGGCAAGUCAACAAAAGAGAAAAGAAAAAAAAUAAAAAUUAUUCUAAGGCAUUUCCUCCUCCCGAGCUUAUGACUUCAUAGCAAGUGAUAUUGUGUUGCUCUUCAUCCACACGGUUGUCCCCCUAUUUGGUCUUCUACUUGUGUUUUGGAAGGGACUAAGAGCUUAAGGAAUAUUAAUGAUGGAAGUAUCAAGGAGUAUAGAGGUAAUGAUGAAAAGGUUGGGGAGCAAGGCACUACUGUAGAGGGAGAGGUAGACGCUUAGGACCUUCCCUAACCAGAACAAUUAUGUUUAUGGAUGAUGGGUUAUGUUUUUAUGAACAUAUGGACUUUGAAAGUCUUUUACGGAUGAAUGUUCGAAUAAGAUAUCCAUUAGGUGCUCCCUUUAUUAAAUUAGAAAUUAGAGUACACGUGUGUCAUUUUCAU